AAUCUUUCGCAAUGGGCGAAAGCCUGACGCAGCCAUGCCGCGUGAAUGAAGAAGGUCUUAGGAUUGUAAAAUUCUUUCACCGGGGACGAUAAUGACGGUCCUGGGAGAAGAAGCGCCGGCGAACUUCGUGCCAGCAGCCGCGGUAAUACGACGGGGGCUAGCGUUGCUCGGAAUUACUGGGCGUAAAGGGCGCGUAGGCGGACAUUUAAGUCAGGGGUGAAAUCCCAGAGCUCCACUCUGGAACUGCCUUUGAUACUGGGUGUCUUGAGUGUGAGAGAGGUAUGUGGAACUCCGAGUGUAGAGGUGAAAUUCGUAGAUAUUCGGAAGAACACCAGUGGCGAAGGCGACAUACUGGCUCAUUACUGACGCUGAGGCGCGAAAGCGUGGGGAGCAAACAG
This 398-nucleotide ribosomal RNA is filed under the name uncultured bacterium. RNAcentral's name for it is "partial 16S ribosomal RNA". It matches the Rfam family "Bacterial small subunit ribosomal RNA", at positions 360 to 775 of the family's 1533-position model. The record is from RNAcentral.